UUUUGUAAAUACCUGUGACCUAGUGUCGUGAGCGCUUAGCAACACCUGACACCCACUAAGCUCUCAGCCAGUGGUUCUGAAAGUGGUUCUAGACCAGCAACAACAGCAGUAGCAGCAGCACCUGUGAACUUGUUAGAAAUGCAAAGUUUCAGGCCCAUUCCAGUUCUACUGAAUCUGAAACUCGAAGGGAACAGCAACCUAUGUUUUAAUAAACCCCAAGAACUAUGGCUCCUUAACUCAGAAGGGCCCUUUUUUCUCAAAACAACCUCUGCAAGAUGUAACCUUGACUUCCCAGGAAAAUGAAAGGUAGUUAACAAUUUCCCCCAUCACCUAUGUAACUCCCUAAAUAAAUAAAAAUUACAGGCAGUUGCUCCUGGAGAUUACA
Molecule: long non-coding RNA, 385 nt
Filed under: Homo sapiens (human)
Lineage: Eukaryota; Metazoa; Chordata; Mammalia; Primates; Hominidae
Description: non-protein coding lnc-GANC-1:2
Source: RNAcentral